GCAGUCAGCCAGCAACCGCGCGGCCCGCGACCGCCUUCUUCGCUGACUGCGACUGCGCGACUCCCGCGCCGACCGCGAAGUGAAGUGAAGUGAGAACUAUCGUGACCGCAUCAAAGUGACUACCGCAAACGUCCCGAUACAAAACAGUUCUGUACCCCGACCCACACUUCUCGGCCAGGUGUCGAAGCCGCGCUGUCGCGUGGCAGUGACAAUCUCUGAACCCUCCAGUGUUCACAAACGGACAUACACAGUGUAUAAUGUUAAUUUGGAUUUGACAAACACCGCACUGCUGCAACAAAUCUUAAUACAAUUUUACAGAUAGCGCGGCAGGGUGGCGGCGUCCAAGUAUGGCGCCGGCGGG
This is a long non-coding RNA of Papilio polytes (common Mormon), 361 nucleotides long. RefSeq lists it as uncharacterized. The transcript is spliced from 3 exons. NCBI's taxonomy places the organism in Eukaryota, Metazoa, Arthropoda, Insecta, Lepidoptera, Papilionidae. The record is from RefSeq and is a predicted model, not a curated record.